Molecule: ribosomal RNA, 845 nt
Filed under: uncultured bacterium
Lineage: Bacteria
Description: bacterial SSU rRNA
Rfam family: Bacterial small subunit ribosomal RNA
Source: RNAcentral
GUAGAGGUNNGCGGAAUUNNNGGUGUAGCGGUGGAAUGCGUAGAUAUCGGGAGGAACACCAGUGGCGAAGGCGGCCUACUGGGCACUAACUGACGCUGAGGCUCGAAAGCAUGGGUAGCAAACAGGAUUAGAUACCCUGGUAGUCCAUGCCGUAAACGAUGAUUACUAGGUGUGGGAGGAUUGACCCCUUCCGUGCCGCAGUUAACACAAUAAGUAAUCCACCUGGGGAGUACGACCGCAAGGUUGAAACUCAAAGGAAUUGACGGGGGCCCGCACAAGCAGUGGAGUAUGUGGUUUAAUUCGAAGCAACGCGAAAAACCUUACCAGGUCUUGACAUCCCGUGCAUAGCUAAGAGAUUAGUGAAGUCCUUCGGGACACGGAGACAGGUGGUGCAUGGUUGUCGUCAGCUCGUGUCGUGAGAUGUUGGGUUAAGUCCCGCAACGAGCGCAACCCUUAUCUUUAGUUACUACGCAAGAGGACUCUAGAGAGACUGCCGUUGACAAAACGGAGGAAGGUGGGGAUGACGUCAAAUCAUCAUGCCCUUUAUGACCUGGGCCACACACGUACUACAAUGGCAAUUAACAAAGAGAAGCGAAACCGCGAGGUGGAGCGAACCUCAUAAAAAUUGUCUCAGUUCGGAUCGCAGGCUGCAACCCGCCUGCGUGAAGCCGGAAUUGCUAGUAAUCGCGGAUCAGCAUGCCGCGGUGAAUACGUUCCCGGGCCUUGUACACACCGCCCGUCACACCAUGAGAGCCGGGGGGACCCGAAGUCGGUAGUCUAACCGCAAGGAGGACGCCGCCGAAGGUAAAACUGGUGAUUGGGGUGAAGUCGUAACAAGGUAGCCG